RNAcentral lists this unclassified non-coding RNA (216 nucleotides) under Trichophorum cespitosum. The record is from RNAcentral. Lineage: Eukaryota; Viridiplantae; Streptophyta; Magnoliopsida; Poales; Cyperaceae.
UCGUUGCCUUUGAAGAACAUGAUCGGUGCACAUGUGAUAGAAUGCUGUCGGGGAGGCACUGCCUCCUCGGCCCCACCGGCCCCGACCCUCUCACCCUAUGGGUGCGUUGGUCGUGGGUCGGAAUACGGCGCGGGAUGACGCCAAGGAACACGAGAAUGCUGAGGCACCGGCGAGCCGCUCAAGGUUUACGCCGGCUGUCAAGGCCAAUGAAAUAAA